Molecule: ribosomal RNA, 432 nt
Filed under: uncultured bacterium
Lineage: Bacteria
Description: bacterial SSU rRNA
Rfam family: Bacterial small subunit ribosomal RNA
Source: RNAcentral
AACGACGCUGGCGGCAUGCCUAAUACAUGCAAGUCGAACGAUCACUUCGGUGGUAGUGGCGCACGGGUGCGUAACGCGUGGGAAUCUGCCCUUGGGUUCGGAAUAACAGCGGGAAACUGCUGCUAAUACCGGAUGAUGACGAAAGUCCAAAGAUUUAUCGCCCAAGGAUGAGCCCGCGUAGGAUUAGGUAGUUGGUGAGGUAAAGGCUCACCAAGCCGACGAUCCUUAGCUGGUCUGAGAGGAUGAUCAGCCACACUGGGACUGAGACACGGCCCAGACUCCUACGGGAGGCAGCAGUAGGGAAUAUUGGACAAUGGGGGCAACCCUGAUCCAGCAAUGCCGCGUGAGUGAUGAAGGCCUUAGGGUUGUAAAGCUCUUUUACCCGAGAUGAUAAUGACAGUAUCGGGAGAAUAAGCUCCGGCUAACUCCGUG